GAUGAACGCUGGCGGCGUGCCUAAUACAUGCAAGUCGAGCGAACGGACGAGAAGCUUGCUUCUCUGAUGUUAGCGGCGGACGGGUGAGUAACACGUGGAUAACCUACCUAUAAGACUGGGAUAACUUCGGGAAACCGGAGCUAAUACCGGAUAAUAUUUUGAACCGCAUGGUUCAAAAGUGAAAGACGGUCUUGCUGUCACUUAUAGAUGGAUCCGCGCUGCAUUAGCUAGUUGGUAAGGUAACGGCUUACCAAGGCAACGAUGCAUAGCCGACCUGAGAGGGUGAUCGGCCACACUGGAACUGAGACACGGUCCAGACUCCUACGGGAGGCAGCAGUAGGGAAUCUUCCGCAAUGGGCGAAAGCCUGACGGAGCAACGCCGCGUGAGUGAUGAAGGUCUUCGGAUCGUAAAACUCUGUUAUUAGGGAAGAACAUAUGUGUAAGUAACUGUGCACAUCUUGACGGUACCUAAUCAGAAAGCCACGGCUAACUACGUGCCAGCAGCCGCGGUAAUACGUAGGUGGCAAGCGUUAUCCGGAAUUAUUGGGCGUAAAGCGCGCGUAGGCGGUUUUUUAAGUCUGAUGUGAAAGCCCACGGCUCAACCGUGGAGGGUCAUUGGAAACUGGAAAACUUGAGUGCAGAAGAGGAAAGUGGAAUUCCAUGUGUAGCGGUGAAAUGCGCAGAGAUAUGGAGGAACACCAGUGGCGAAGGCGACUUUCUGGUCUGUAACUGACGCUGAUGUGCGAAAGCGUGGGGAUCAAACAGGAUUAGAUGCCCUGGUAGUCCACGCCGUAAACGAUGAGUGCUAAGUGUUAGGGGGUUUCCGCCCCUUAGUGCUGCAGCUAACGCAUUAAGCACUCCGCCUGGGGAGUACGACCGCAAGGUUGAAACUCAAAGGAAUUGACGGGGACCCGCACAAGCGGUGGAGCAUGUGGUUUAAUUCGAAGCAACGCGAAGAACCUUACCAAAUCUUGACAUCCUUUGACAACUCUAGAGAUAGAGCUUUCCCCUUCGGGGGACAAAGUGACAGGUGGUGCAUGGUUGUCGUCAGCUCGUGUCGUGAGAUGUUGGGUUAAGUCCCGCAACGAGCGCAACCCUUAAGCUUAGUUGCCAUCAUUAAGUUGGGCACUCUAAGUUGACUGCCGGUGACAAACCGGAGGAAGGUGGGGAUGACGUCAAAUCAUCAUGCCCCUUAUGAUUUGGGCUACACACGUGCUACAAUGGACAAUACAAAGGGCAGCGAAACCGCGAGGUCAAGCAAAUCCCAUAAAGUUGUUCUCAGUUCGGAUUGUAGUCUGCAACUCGACUACAUGAAGCUGGAAUCGCUAGUAAUCGUAGAUCAGCAUGCUACGGUGAAUACGUUCCCGGGUCU
Molecule: ribosomal RNA, 1372 nt
Filed under: uncultured bacterium
Lineage: Bacteria
Description: bacterial SSU rRNA
Rfam family: Bacterial small subunit ribosomal RNA
Source: RNAcentral